AUCCCAUAAUUUAUUGAUUAAUAUAGACAUAUACAUGAUACUGUGGUCAAUAAUAGAACAAAAUAGAGAAUGUGAAGAAUAUGAGCUGAACAUUCUGCUGCAAAGCAUCGUUAGUGUGUGUGUCACAGAUGAACCCCACACAGAGACAAACAGUGCAUAAACCUCUAGAUAUGACAGAUUCACAGCCUCAGAGUUAGUCGUCAGGAGCUACGCUGGUUUAGUAAUAGCAAAGAAAUGCAUCACAGUGUUACACUUACAUGACAUCUCAGUAGAAAUGAAUAAAUAAAGACAUUAAUAUAUUAAUAUUUCAGAUUUUUGGUUGUUAAGUCUAUGGACUAUAGUCUAAAAAAAUGAUCUUCACUACUCCGUAAUGCCUUGGAUUUAGUUCACAAUGAAAUCUGACUUCAAUCAUACAGUAAUUCACAGUCUAAGUCACAGGCGGUUUGCUACAUCAUCUGUUAGUACAGUAAGGAGGUUAGUCGGUUUGAUCACUAGUGGCUCACUAACUAACCUACAUGCUCUUGGGUUUCACACUUGUAUGUAUCUCAGUACAUGCUGUUUUAUUAUCACUGUCUGUGUGUGUGUGUGUGUGUGAGAGUGUGUGUGUGUGUGUGUGUGUGUGUGGAGCACACAUAUAUAACUUGAAAAUUUGUAAACGUCAAACUUUGUUAGUGUUUGUG
This is a long non-coding RNA of Sinocyclocheilus anshuiensis, 680 nucleotides long. RefSeq lists it as uncharacterized. The transcript has 2 exons. NCBI's taxonomy places the organism in Eukaryota, Metazoa, Chordata, Actinopteri, Cypriniformes, Cyprinidae. The record is from RefSeq and is a predicted model, not a curated record.